Molecule: RNA transcript, 858 nt
Organism: Helianthus annuus (common sunflower)
Lineage: Eukaryota; Viridiplantae; Streptophyta; Magnoliopsida; Asterales; Asteraceae
Gene name: pterin-4-alpha-carbinolamine dehydratase 2, mitochondrial-like
Exons: 8
Source: RefSeq, a predicted model, not a curated record
UAGUUAAUCAGAAUUUCGGUAUAUGUGGUACGGUAGUGGUACACCAUUUCACGUCAUCAAGGGUGUUUGGGCAUAUACAUAUCCGGUCUAGGGUAACGAAAGACUUAUGCUUUCCGUUCGUCGUCUUCUUCCUCUCUACGUGCCUUUCAAAUCAUCAAGACACUAUUUUUCUCUUAAAAAAAUAUCUAUGAAUAAUAAUGGAGGUUUUGGCCCUAGUGGUUUUGUAGCACCAGAUGUUUCAUCACAUGGAUCAACUCUCAGGUCAUUCUGUACCAGCAAAGAUUUGUCAGCUGAGAAAUGUGUCCCAUGCAACCGAAAGGGUUUGAGCCCUAUGACCGAAGAUAGUGCCAAUGCGUUGAAACCCAAGGUCCCUGAAUGGGAGUUGUUAAGCGAUGGUGGCAUAAUGAAGCUACGUCGAAAGUGGAAAGUUAAGAAUUUUCUCUUAGGGUUGGAGUUCUUUAAGAUCGUUGCUGACUUGGCUGAAUCUGAAGGCCAUCAUCCCGAUCUUCAUCUUGUUGGAUGGAACAACGUGACAAUCGAGAUAUGGACACAUGCUUGCGGUGGGCUCACGCAAAAUGAUUUCAUACUAGCUGCGAAGAUCGACAAGCUACCCGUCGAAUCUUAUCUUAAAUGAGUUUACUACAAGUUACCUGGAUUUUACAAGACUUUUAUAAUAUGCUGUUAGCCUGUUAGGUGGUUAUUUACGUAUUCUGUUUCUGUUUCUGUUUUUGUUUUAUUGAUCAUUAGUUGGUACCCUGGAGUAUGUUGAUCUUUAUGGUCUGGGUUUGUCGUGUUUCAUCGCGUGGGGAAUGCUUGAGGGGUUGAACGCGUUAUUUAAUUUUACAAAAUUUAGUCGAA